RNAcentral lists this ribosomal RNA (3135 nucleotides) under Triticum aestivum (bread wheat). RNAcentral describes it as "partial small subunit ribosomal RNA". Lineage: Eukaryota; Viridiplantae; Streptophyta; Magnoliopsida; Poales; Poaceae. The record is from RNAcentral.
AUGGAUCUCAUCGUUGGCGCCUCGAGCAACGCCGUGAAAUCCCUCGUCGGCAAGCUCGGGAGCCUACUCGCCCAGGAGUACACCCUGAUCCAGGGCGUCCGCGACGACAUCCAGUACAUCAACGACGAGCUGGCCAGUAUGCAGGCUUUCCUCAACAGGACCAAGCGUGCUGGCAGCCACGACGAGCAGCGGCAGGACUGGAUGAAGCAGGUGCGCGAGGUGUCCUACGACAUUGAGGACUGCGUCGACGACGUCAACCACCGGCUCGGCCACGAGCCCCGAGGGAACGGCAAGCUGAUGUACAUCCGGAAGAAGUGGUAUUUCCUCACGACGAUGUACGUGCGCCGGUGCAUCGCCGCCGAGAUCGGCAACCUCAAGGUUCGGGCGCAGCAGGUCAGCGACCGGCGCACGAGGUACGGGGUGGACAACCUUACGGGAAGUAGCAGUGAGCCCGUGGUAGCUGACGCUCCUACAGACCGUGUAGCUCCGCCUCCCGAACUCAUUGGCACGAAGCAACCGGUGGGCGUGGAAGAUGCCAUGAACGAACUCGGGGGAUGGUUUAAAGCAGAGCAGCACACCACUCAGCAGAGCACUGAGAAGCGGUUCCUUGCUAUUUUUGGGUUUGGUGGCCUUGGGAAGACAACGCUCGCCAUGGAGUUGUACCGCAGGUUUGGAGAUGAUUUUGACUGCAGAGCGUCGGUGCAGGCCUCGCAGAAGUUCAAUCUUUUGAUGAUUCUGAGGAGCCUUGUCAAGCAAUUCCAUGAGCAGCAGGCCGGUGCUUCUCUGAAUGACCCCCUUGAGGGAAUUGAGGAAUGGGGAGAAAAAGAUCUCAGAAAGAAGCUCGUUGACCAACUGAAAGAUAAGAGGUACCUUGUCUUGGUAGAUGACAUAUGGUCUGUAUCAGCAUGGGAAAACAUUAAUGAUUCUUUGCCUGAAAGAGUGAAGUGUGGGAGUGUAGUGGUGACAACAAGGUUUAAAUCUGUAGCUGUUGCCUGCUGCCGUCGAAAUGGUCGCUUGUAUGACCACAAGCCACUUCUUGAAGAAAAUUCCUACAAAUUAUUUCGCCAAAUUGUCUCAAGUGCUCCUGAUAAUGCAUCUAAAGCUUCAUUAUAUGGUCAAAUUCUAUCCGGCACUCCUGGUAAUCCAACUAAAGCUCCGUCAGGUGAUUACAUUGUCACCUCUGCUUCUGAUAGUCCAACUGAAGCUGCAUCGCAUGGUAUAAUUAUCUCGGGUGCUGUUGGUGAUAAUCCAACUAAAGCAGUAGCACAUGGUCAAAUUAUGUCUGGUACUUCUGACAAUCCCAUUGGAGAUGCUCAAGCUCUUUUAAAAAAGUGUGGAGGUUUGCCUUUGGCCAUAAUUGUCGUAGCAGGGCUCGUGGCUAGUAAACUGCGAUCAGGCACUAGCUCGAAGACAAUAGAUAACUACUUAGCUGAAGUAGACAAGGCUUUGAAUGGGGGGUUGGAAACUCAUCUCAGUACGGAAGGAGUGACAAAAGUACUUGACCAAUGCUACAAUGAUUUGCCGGCUGAUCUCAAGACCUGUUUAUUGUACUUGAGCAUGUUUCCGAAGGGCAGCUUUGUUAGCAGAAAGCGUUUGAUUAGAAGAUGGAUAGGAGAAGGCUUUAUCAUUCAAAAGCAUGGGAAGACUAUUGAGGAAGUUGCUGAAGAUUACUUCAACGAACUAAUUAGCAGAAACUUGAUUCGGGCAGUCAACAACAGCAGUAAUGGCAAAGUCAAGACCUAUCAAAUUCAUGACAUGGUUCUUGAGUAUAUUGUUUCCAAGUCAAGCGACGAGAAUUUCAUCACUGUAGUGGGUGGUCACUGGCAGACACCAUUUCCAAGCUACAAGGUGCGCCGACUCUCUAUUCACAGAAGUGCUCGGGAAGAAAAAGAAACUGUAGAGAGGAUGAAAUUGUCACAUGUCCGAUCAUUGACAGCAUUCGACAGCUUUAAAGCACUGCAUUCUUGUUUGCUGAAGUUUCAGAUACUGCAAGUGCUGGAUCUUGAAUCUUGUAGAGAUUUAUCGUCCCAUCAGCUCCAGAAAAUAUGCAAAAUGCACCAGUUGAAGUACUUGAGCCUACGUCGGACAGACAUUGAGGAGAUUCCAGCUGAAAUAGGGAAGCUGGAAUAUUUGGAGGUAUUUGACAUAAGGGAGACAGAAGUAAGUGAACUGCCUCAGUCAGUUGGGGGGCUAAAGCGGAUGACCCAUCUGCUUGCUGGCAAUAAAAGCAAGCGGAAAGCACUGAUAAUGACAGAAGAGAUCACAAAGAUGACAGCCCUUAAAACGCUAUCUGGUAUGGGGAUAUGUGGAACCUCAACUGCAGGCAUGGUCAGAUUCACCAGGAAGACAACGGCUACUGGCUUAUUCAAAUCGACUAGCCGCGGCUCAUGUAAGCAAGUGCUCCAAGCCUUAGAGAAGCUCACAAACCUGAAGAAACUCAGCCUUUACAUACUUGGGAAGCUGGAAGAAGAAGAUGAGAUACUGUUGCUCUCUGCCAUUGAGCACCUGAGCAGUUGCUCGCUCAAAUUUCUUGCGGUUGAUGAUGGCUUCACUGGCUUUCUUGAGGAAUCACUCAGUUCUUCAAAAGCACCGCCAGAGCACCUGCACACCCUGGAGCUUUGCGGCAAUUUAUUUGAAGUGCCCAAGUGGAUCGUUAGUAUGCAUGGCCUUGAGAAACUAACUUUGUCCUUAACUUCACUGAGGACAGAUACUUUGAUGCUUCUAAGUGAAUUGCCUGAGCUAUUCUCUCUCACUUUCUCUCUAGAUGCAGCAAAGUCCAAGAAUGGAAGUGCUCUUGAAAUUCUGCAUAAGAAUACAAUGAAUUCAGGAGGAGAGAUAUUUGUGCCGGAUGGUGGUUUCGGCAAGCUUAAGCUACUGCGCUUAUUGGCACCAUUUCUGCCACCUUUGAGUUUUGUGGAAGGUGCCAUGCCGAUGCUCCAGAGACUUGAACUGAGGUUCAGAACUGCGUAUGGUGUUCAUGGCCUGGAAAAUCUUGCAAGUCUCCGUCAGAUAUUUCUUGCAGUCAGCAGCAAGGCCCCUAAGGCGGCCGAGGAGAUAAAGCGAUUGGCGAACAAGAUUGAGAAGAAUCCCCCUACUGUGAUUGUCGACGAGUACAACGAAUCAUCAAUGGAGUAA